Molecule: ribosomal RNA, 253 nt
Filed under: uncultured bacterium
Lineage: Bacteria
Description: partial 16S ribosomal RNA
Rfam family: Bacterial small subunit ribosomal RNA
Source: RNAcentral
UACGGAGGGUGCAAGCGUUAUCCGGAUUCACUGGGUUUAAAGGGUGCGUAGGCGGAUAUGUAAGUCCGUGGUGAAAUCUCUGGGCUUAACCCGGAGACUGCCAUGGAUACUAUGUGUCUUGAAUGUUGUUGAGGUGAGCGGAAUAUGUCAUGUAGCGGUGAAAUGCUUAGAUAUGACAUAGAACACCAAUUGCGAAGGCAGCUCACUAAGCAAAUAUUGACGCUGAGGCACGAAAGCGUGGGGAUCAAACAGG